CACAUCUUAAAUACCCCUUUAGUAACGAGACAUCCCAUAAUUCCUGCCAGCGGCUUUUCACCAGCCAGCCUGUGGGGUUACGCUUCAAACUGCACGCCGGAGCGCAGUGUAUAACUGUACGUUCAGCUAAAACGUGUCAUUAUCACCGGAACACACACACCCGCACACACACACACCCGCACACACACACAGCUGCAUUUAUAAAGGACAAUAAACAUGUUAUUAAUAAUCACUUUGUUGAUAGUCAUGUUAUUAAUAUUCUUGUUUUUAAUAAGCGUUUUAUUAACACUCGUUAAUAGUCAAGUAAUUAUUCAUCCCUGAUGGUUGUGUUUAUUUAUGUUUAAAUUGAUACGCCGCGUUAUGAUCGGUCACAUCACUGCGAGUGAUUUAUUAAUAGUAAAGUCAUUGAUAGCCGUGUUAUGAUAUGAAUAGUCACGUUCUCGAUAGUUACGUUCUUAACAGCCAUGUCCUUAAAGCUCAGGGUUUUAAUACUGUUAUUAAUACUCAUGUCAUUAAUAGUAACGUUUUAUUCAUAGUAAUGUUAUUGAUAGUCGUGUCUUUUAUGUACGUCGUUAGCAGUCACUUCACGUUAUCCAGUUCGCUGUGUUAUUAAUAAUCACGCUGUUAAUGGUCAUGGUAAUAGAAUAUUUCUGUUCUGGAACCGUGAUGAUGUUCUUACGAAAGAGUUCCAGAACUACUGUGUAGUUCUUGUUCAGGGGAGUUCUGGAACUGUGUAGUUCCUGUUCAGGCGAGUCCAGGAACUGUGUAGUUCCUGUUCAGUAACAGUGAAUUUCCUGUUCAGGAGAAUACUGUCACUGUUUAGUUCCUGUUGAGGUGAGUCUAGGAACUGUGUAGUUCCUGUUCUGUAACUGUGUAGUUCCUGUUCAGGAGAAUACUGUCACUGUGUAGUUCCUGUUGAGGUGAGUCUAGGAACUGUGUAGUUCCUGUUCUGUAACUGUGUAGUUCCUUUUGAGGUGAGUUCAGGAACUGUGUAGUUCCUGUUCUGUAACUGUGUAGUUCCUUUUGAGGUGAGUUCAGGAACUGUGUAGUUCCUGUUCUGUAACUGUGUAGUUCCUGUUCAGGAGAAUACGGUAACUGUGUAGUUCCUGUUGAGGCGAGUCUAGGAACUGUGUAGUUCCUGUUCUGUAACUGUGUAGUUCCUCUUGAGGCGAGUCCAGGAACUGUGUAGUUCCUCUUGAGGCAGUCCAGGAACUGUGUAGUUCCUUUUGAGGUGAGUUCAGGAACUGUGUAGUUCCUGUUCUGUAUCUGUGUAGUUCCUGUUCUGUAUCUGUGUAGUUCCUGUUCUGUAACUGUUUAGUUCCUGUUCUGUAUCUGUGUAGUUCCUGUUCUGUAACUGUGUAGUUCCUUUUGAGGUGAGUUCAGGAACUGUGUAGUUCCUGUUCUGUAACUGUGUAGUUCCUCUUGAGGCGAGUCCAGGAACUGUGUAGUUCCUUUUGAGGUGAUUUCAGGAACUGUGUAGUUCCUGUUCUGUAACUGUGUAGUUCCUGUUCUGUAACUGUGUAGUUCCUGUUCUGUAACUGUGUAGUUCCUGUUCUGUAUCUGUGUAGUUCCUGU
Molecule: long non-coding RNA, 1575 nt
Organism: Ictalurus punctatus (channel catfish)
Lineage: Eukaryota; Metazoa; Chordata; Actinopteri; Siluriformes; Ictaluridae
Source: Ensembl